Long non-coding RNA from Salvator merianae (Argentine black and white tegu), 336 nucleotides. NCBI's taxonomy places the organism in Eukaryota, Metazoa, Chordata, Lepidosauria, Squamata, Teiidae. The record is from Ensembl.
UUAAAUUUUUUAUUGUUUUUCUUCUUUUUUUAUAGGAAAUCCUGUUGGAGACCACUGCAAAAUAACUGAAUUGGGCAUCUUUUGGGUCACACAGUCAAUUUCCAAAUUUGAAUAAAGACAAUAAACACUACCUUUCUCUGUGUAAGUGGGGACUGAAACUGGGAAACUUGGCUGUCAGAUCAUCAUUCUUCGCUUUGUCAAUGGAGCCUAACUUUACAAGAAGAGGACUGAAAGCAAUUGUACACUGAGCCCAAAGAUAAAGAGAAUGAGCAACUCUUUCCAGACUGGAUCUGUUGCAAGGAGCCAGAGAGAGGCAUGAUGGGAGAAUCUGUCACU